This 261-nucleotide long non-coding RNA is filed under the name Vigna radiata. RNAcentral describes it as "long non-coding RNA (VRAD_LNC009126)". The record is from RNAcentral. Lineage: Eukaryota; Viridiplantae; Streptophyta; Magnoliopsida; Fabales; Fabaceae.
AAAAUGAUAAAAUUGGGUGAGCUACAUAUAUUUGAGUGGAGAGUGCAUUUAUUGAGGAAGAAGGACAGAAUGAGUUGCGUUGUUUGAAUGUUAUAAGAAGUGGACCCCACCACAGAGUUAUUGUUGCAUUCGAUAACUUAUCUUUGCUUCGCCUAACGUGAUUCCUCGUUCCAACACCAGAAUAUACAAUAGUACCACUCUCCUAUGUGGGACCCACACUCCCUACAAUUUACUCAUCAAUUUUACUUUUUUCUCCUUUUC